UACGAAGGGGGCUAGCGUUGUUCGGAAUUACUGGGCGUAAAGGGCGCGUAGGCGGUCCUGAUCGUCGGAUGUGAAAGGCCUGGGCUCAACCUGGGAAUGGCAAUGGAUACUGGCAAGCUAGAGUGCGGUAGAGGGUAGUGGAAUUCCCGGUGUAGCGGUGAAAUGCGUAGAGAUCGGGAGGAACACCAGUGGCGAAGGCGGCUACCUGGACCAGCACUGACACUGAGGCACGAAAGCGUGGGGAGCAAACAGG
RNAcentral lists this ribosomal RNA (253 nucleotides) under uncultured bacterium. RNAcentral's name for it is "partial 16S ribosomal RNA". It matches the Rfam family "Bacterial small subunit ribosomal RNA", at positions 524 to 776 of the family's 1533-position model. The record is from RNAcentral.